CCUACGGGGGGCAGCAGUGGGGGAUAUUGGGCAAUGGGCGCAAGCCUGACCCAGCAACGCCGCGUGAAGGAUGAAGUAUUUCGGUGCGUAAACUCCUAUCAGCAGGGAAGAAAAUGACGGUACCUGACUAAGAAGCCCCGGCUAACUACGUGCCAGCAGCCGCGGUAAUACGUAGGGGGCAAGCGUUAUCCGGAUUUACUGGGUGUAAAGGGAGCGUAGACGGGCCAGCAAGUCUGAGGUGAAAACCCGGGGCCCAACCCCGGGAGUGCUGUGGAAACUGCGGGCCUGGAGUGCCGGAGAGGUAAGCGGAAUUCCUGGUGUAGCGGUGAAAUGCGUAGAUAUUAGGAGGAACACCAGUGGCGAAGGCGGUUUACUGGACGGUAACUGACGUUGAGGCUCGAAAGCGUGGGGAGCAAACAGGAUUAGAUACCCGUGUAGUC
Molecule: ribosomal RNA, 440 nt
Filed under: uncultured bacterium
Lineage: Bacteria
Description: partial 16S ribosomal RNA
Rfam family: Bacterial small subunit ribosomal RNA
Source: RNAcentral